UUGAAAGGGAAACGAUUGAAGUCAGUCGUACCAGCGGGAAAUCAACCUUUCGAGUGGGGGUUUUGGAGUUUUGAAGAGUUUCAAAACCUUUGAGAUUUCAAAAAUUUCGCUCUUUUGGUGUACUUUCUCGUGGGUAGGUUAACAUCGAUUUUGAUCAUCAUAAAAAGAUUGGAGGAAUGUAGCUUCGAUCUUGUAUUGAAGUGUUAUAACCUUUGGUAAAAAUGUGAUGAUUAGGAUCGAGGAUUGCAACGAAUACCCUUUUGGGCUAUAUCCGCCUGAUCUCUGAUACGUGGCCUUGGUAUCGAAAGCUUGCUUAUGGUAUUAAGGUAUUACGGUCAAAAGGUUAGAACGGAUUACAUUCGUUAAGGAUGUUGACGUA
Molecule: ribosomal RNA, 379 nt
Filed under: uncultured Glomeromycotina
Lineage: Eukaryota; Fungi; Glomeromycota
Description: LSU rRNA
Source: RNAcentral